CUUAUAUAAAAUAUCUUAUAUUAGAUUCAGUUUGUGAUUAUUUUGGAGUUUAUUUUUAAAGAUGAUUUUAAUAAAAGGACCAGAUUGAAAAGAACGGCGAUUCCUUGCAUGAAAAUCCCCGUAAGGAAACAUGACUGUGUUAAAAAUGAGACCUUGAAAAGGCAAAGAAAAUUAAGGUUAAAAAAAAAGAGGAGAAAAAAAGGAGAAAAUAUUUCUUGUGAACAAUUUCAGUCUUCAUGCAAUUCAAUAAACAGAAUUUUUAAUCAGCCUUUACAACAUCUUAAUUUCAGUAAUGAAGAACAUGAAGCUGCGGAA
Molecule: long non-coding RNA, 315 nt
Filed under: Androctonus crassicauda
Lineage: Eukaryota; Metazoa; Arthropoda; Arachnida; Scorpiones; Buthidae
Source: RNAcentral